This 312-nucleotide long non-coding RNA is filed under the name Oryza sativa (Asian cultivated rice). Its description in RNAcentral is "long non-coding RNA (OSAT_LNC000941)". Lineage: Eukaryota; Viridiplantae; Streptophyta; Magnoliopsida; Poales; Poaceae. The record is from RNAcentral.
ACUUGUUUAGGCUUUGGAACUAGUCCAAGACCAUGCACAUGCCCAGGCUUGUCAUCUCCAAGUAUUUGGUUCAAUGCAUCUCCUUUCCAAGCAGUCCUUCCUUCACUAGUGUCUGCUAAAGCUGGUUGUUCAACUACAAGUUUCUUCAAAUUAUCCUAAACACAGGAACAAUAUGAAUAGAACAUAUGAAAAAAAGUUGAAACUUAAAUUAUCUAUAGUUUAGAUUUGAUAGUAUACCACAUGCCCAUUUAGAUUCUUGCCAGUUUUGCGCUUGUGUGUUUGGAUGUACACAAUAGCUCUGUGAGGAUUCUU